UGGGGAAUAUUGGACUAUGGGCGAAAGCCUGAUCCAGCCAUGCCGCGUGUGUGAAGAAGGUCUUCGGAUUGUAAAGCACUUUAAGUUGGGAGGAAGGGCAGUAAGCGAAUACCUUGCUGUUUUGACGUUACCGACAGAAUAAGCACCGGCUAACUCUGUGCCAGCAGCCGCGGUAAUACAGAGGGUGCAAGCGUUAAUCGGAAUUACUGGGCGUAAAGCGCGCGUAGGUGGUUCGUUAAGUUGAAUGUGAAAGCCCCGGGCUCAACCUGGGAACUGCAUCCAAAACUGGCGAGCUAGAGUAGGGCAGAGGGUGGUGGAAUUUCCUGUGUAGCGGUGAAAUGCGUAGAUAUAGGAAGGAACACCAGUGGCGAAGGCGACCACCUGGGCUCAUACUGACACUGAGGUGCGAAAGCGUGGGGAGCAAACAGG
RNAcentral lists this ribosomal RNA (429 nucleotides) under Pseudomonadota bacterium. RNAcentral's name for it is "Proteobacteria bacterium partial 16S ribosomal RNA". It matches the Rfam family "Bacterial small subunit ribosomal RNA", at positions 355 to 776 of the family's 1533-position model. The record is from RNAcentral. Lineage: Bacteria; Pseudomonadati; Pseudomonadota.